This 439-nucleotide ribosomal RNA is filed under the name uncultured bacterium. Its description in RNAcentral is "partial 16S ribosomal RNA". It matches the Rfam family "Bacterial small subunit ribosomal RNA", at positions 339 to 795 of the family's 1533-position model. The record is from RNAcentral.
CUACGGGGGGCUCCAGUGGGGAAUAUUGGACAAUGGGCGCAAGCCUGAUCCAGCAAUGCCGCGUGAGUGAAGACGGCCUUAGGGUUGUAAAACUCUUUCGCUAGGGAAGAUAAUGACUGUACCUAGUAAAGAAGUCCCGGCUAACUCCGUGCCAGCAGCCGCGGUAAUACGGAGGGGACUAGCGUUGUUCGGAAUUACUGGGCGUAAAGAGUUCGUAGGCGGACUGACAAGUUAGAGGUGAAAUCCCAGGGCUCAACCCUGGAACUGCCUUUAAAACUGCCAGUCUAGAGACCGGAAGAGGUUAGGGGAAUACCUAGUGUAGAGGUGAAAUUCGUAGAUAUUAGGUGGAACACCAGUGGCGAAGGCGCCUAACUGGUCCGGUACUGACGCUGAGGAACGAAAGCGUGGGGAGCAAACAGGAUUAGAUACCCUUGUAGUC